This 301-nucleotide ribosomal RNA is filed under the name uncultured bacterium. Its description in RNAcentral is "partial 16S ribosomal RNA". It matches the Rfam family "Bacterial small subunit ribosomal RNA", at positions 509 to 809 of the family's 1533-position model. The record is from RNAcentral.
CAGCAGCCGCGGGAACACGUAGGGUGCGAGCGUUAAUCGGAAUUACUGGGCGUAAAGCGUGCGCAGGCGGUUUCGUAAGACAGGCGUGAAAUCCCCGGGCUCAACCUGGGAAUGGCGCUUGUGACUGCAAAGCUAGAGUGCGGCAGAGGGGGAUGGAAUUCCGCGUGUAGCAGUGAAAUGCGUAGAUAUGCGGAGGAACACCGAUGGCGAAGGCAAUCCCCUGGGCCUGCACUGACGCUCAUGCACGAAAGCGUGGGGAGCAAACAGGAUUAGAUACCCCCGUAGUCCCUGUCUCUUAUAA